This 253-nucleotide ribosomal RNA is filed under the name uncultured bacterium. RNAcentral's name for it is "partial 16S ribosomal RNA". It matches the Rfam family "Bacterial small subunit ribosomal RNA", at positions 524 to 776 of the family's 1533-position model. The record is from RNAcentral.
UACGAAGGGGGCUAGCGUUGCUCGGAAUCACUGGGCGUAAAGCGCACGUAGGCGGAUUCUUAAGUCAGGGGUGAAAUCCUGGAGCUCAACUCCAGAACUGCCUUUGAUACUGAGGGUCUUGAGUUCGGGAGAGGUGAGUGGAACUGCGAGUGUAGAGGUGAAAUGCGUAGAGAUCCGGAGGAACCCCAGAGGCGAAGGCGGCGCUCUGGCUCGCAACUGACGCUCAGACACGACAGCAUGGGGAGCGAACGGG